AUGGCUCAGAUUGAACGCUGGCGGCAUGCUUUACACAUGCAAGUCGAACGGCAGCACGGGGGCAACCCUGGUGGCGAGUGGCGAACGGGUGAGUAAUGCAUCGGAACGUGCCCAGUUGUGGGGGAUAACCAGUCGAAAGAUUGGCUAAUACCGCAUACGACCUGAGGGUGAAAGCGGGGGACCGAAAGGCCUCGCGCGAUUGGAGCGGCCGAUGUCUGAUUAGCUAGUUGGUGAGGUAAGAGCUCACCAAGGCGACGAUCAGUAGCUGGUCUGAGAGGACGACCAGCCACACUGGGACUGAGACACGGCCCAGACUCCUACGGGAGGCAGCAGUGGGGAAUUUUGGACAAUGGGCGCAAGCCUGAUCCAGCCAUGCCGCGUGCGGGAAGAAGGCCCUCGGGUUGUAAACCGCUUUUGUCAGGAACGAAACGGCGCUUGUUAAUACCGAGCGCUAAUGACGGUACCUGAAGAAUAAGCACCGGCUAACUACGUGCCAGCAGCCGC
This 504-nucleotide ribosomal RNA is filed under the name uncultured bacterium. RNAcentral's name for it is "bacterial SSU rRNA". It matches the Rfam family "Bacterial small subunit ribosomal RNA", at positions 19 to 518 of the family's 1533-position model. The record is from RNAcentral.